RNAcentral lists this long non-coding RNA (203 nucleotides) under Gossypium barbadense (sea-island cotton). RNAcentral describes it as "long non-coding RNA (GBAR_LNC014473)". Lineage: Eukaryota; Viridiplantae; Streptophyta; Magnoliopsida; Malvales; Malvaceae. The record is from RNAcentral.
UGACUAAGAAAGUAGUUAUUACGGUGGACUCAAUUCAACUUUCGUCUUGCUUGCUUACUACACCUCAAAUGUUCGUUUUCUAGAGCUAUCCGGCUACGUUUAGAACAAUAUACUUUACAAAAUAAUAAAAAAGAGCAAUAAGCUGUAGACGUUGAUAUUUGCUACCUUAUAUUAUAUGUACAAAUAUCUAUGCAGUGUCACCC